ACGAACGCUGGCGGCGCGCCUAACACAUGCAAGUCGAACGAGCGAGAGAGGGCUUGCUUUCUCAAGCGAGUGGCGAACGGGUGAGUAACGCGUGAGGAACCUGCCUCAAAGAGGGGGACAACAGUUGGAAACGACUGCUAAUACCGCAUAAGCCCACGACCCGGCAUCGGGUAGAGGGAAAAGGAGCAAUCCGCUUUGAGAUGGCCUCGCGUCCGAUUAGCUGGUUGGUGAGGUAACGGCCCACCAAGGCGACGAUCGGUAGCCGGACUGAGAGGUUGAACGGCCACAUUGGGACUGAGACACGGCCCAGACUCCUACGGGAGGCAGCAGUGGGGAAUAUUGCACAAUGGGGGAAACCCUGAUGCAGCGACGCCGCGUGGAGGAAGAAGGUCUUCGGAUUGUAAACUCCUGUUGUUGAGGAAGAUAAUGACGGUACUCAACAAGGAAGUGACGGCUAACUACGUGCCAGCAGCCGCGGUAAAACGUAGGUCACAAGCGUUGUCCGGAAUUACUGGGUGUAAAGGGAGCGCAGGCGGGAAGACAAGUUGGAAGUGAAAUCCAUGGGCUCAACCCAUGAACUGCUUUCAAAACUGUUUUCCUUGAGUAGUGCAGAGGUAGGCGGAAUUCCCGGUGUAGCGGUGGAAUGCGUAGAUAUCGGGA
Molecule: ribosomal RNA, 660 nt
Filed under: uncultured Lachnospiraceae bacterium
Lineage: Bacteria; Bacillati; Bacillota; Clostridia; Lachnospirales; Lachnospiraceae
Description: bacterial SSU rRNA
Rfam family: Bacterial small subunit ribosomal RNA
Source: RNAcentral